Non-coding RNA from Rhizopus microsporus, 208 nucleotides. The record is from Rfam. NCBI's taxonomy places the organism in Eukaryota, Fungi, Mucoromycota, Mucoromycetes, Mucorales, Rhizopodaceae.
AACGCAGAGUUAAGGUGCCGGAAUACACGCUCAUCCGACACCUCAAAAGGUGUUAGUUCAUCUAGACAGCAGGGCGGUGGCCAUGGAAGUCGGAAUCCGCUAAAGAGUGUGUAACAACUCACCUGCCGAAUGAACUAGCCCUGAAAAUGGAUGGCACUUAAGCGUGUUACCCAUACGCUGCCGUUAUUGUAAAAGCGAAGCAAUAANN